Molecule: long non-coding RNA, 1089 nt
Filed under: Salmo salar (Atlantic salmon)
Lineage: Eukaryota; Metazoa; Chordata; Actinopteri; Salmoniformes; Salmonidae
Description: lncRNA (ENSSSAG00000109861.1)
Source: RNAcentral
CUGGUUGUUCUAUUGAUAUAUCUCUCUACUCCAACCAUCACCCGCUGUAACGCUGUAGUCUGUCAGGUCUCCAACCAUCACCCGCUGUAACACUGUAGUCUAUCAGGUCUCCAACCAUCACCCGCUGUAACACUGUAGUCUAUCAGGUCUCCAACCAUCACCCGCUGUAACACUGUAGUCUGUCAGGUCUCCAACCAUCACCCGCUGUAAUACUGUAGUCUAUCAGGUCUCCAACCAUCACCCGCUGUAAUACUGUAGUCUAUCAGGUCUCCAACCAUCACCCGCUGUAAUACUGUAGUCUAUCAGGUCUCCAACCAUCACCCGCUGUAACGCUGUAGUCUAUCAGGUCUCCAACCAUCACCCGCUGUAACGCUGUAAUCUAUCACCCGCUGUAAGCUGUAGUCUAUCACCCGCUGUAACGCUGCAGUCUGUCAGGUCUCCAACCAUCACCCGCUGUAACGCUGUAGUCUAUCAGGUCUCCAACCAUCACCCGCUGUAACGUUGUAGUCUAUCAGGUCUCCAACCAUCACCCGCUGUAACGCUGUAAUCUAUCAGGUCUCCAUCCAUCACCCGCUGUAAUUCUGUAGUCUAUCAGGUCUCCAACCGUCACCCGCUGUAACGCUGUAGUCUAUCAGGUCUCCAACCAUCACCCGCUGUAAUACUGUAGUCUAUCAGGUCUCCAACCAUCACCCGCUGUAAUACUGUAGUCUAUCAGGUCUCCAACCAUCACCCGCUGUAACGCUGUAGUCUAUCAGGUCUCCAAACAUCACCGCUGUAACACUGUAGUCUAUCAGGUCUCCAACCAUCACCCGCUGUAACGCUGUAGUCUAUCAGGUCUCCAACCAUCACCCGCUGUAACGCUGUAGUCUAUCAGGUCUCCAACCAUCACCCGCUGUAACGCUGUAGUCUAUCAGGUCUCCAACCAUCACACGCUGUAAUGCUGUAUAGCGUGUCUAUCAGGUAGGGGACAUCACCUGUUUGGGGUGUAAUGCUGUAUAUUCUGUCAGAUAUGGGACGUGUCUCGUUUCUCCUAACGCUGUAAUUCUCUCCUGUCCUGACACGGUCACGCCCUCCCCUAAAUAACCGUUC